GCAUGGAGCCGGCCUUGAAAUACCACCCUUUAAUGUUUGAUGUUCUAACGUGGACCCGUGAUCCGGGUUGCGGACAGUGUCUGGUGGGUAGUUUGACUGGGGCGGUCUCCUCCUAAAGAGUAACGGAGGAGCACGAAGGUUGGCUAAUCCUGGUCGGACAUCAGGAGGUUAGUGCAAUGGCAUAAGCCAGCUUGACUGCGAGCGUGACGGCGCGAGCAGGUGCGAAAGCAGGUCAUAGUGAUCCGGUGGUUCUGAAUGGAAGGGCCAUCGCUCAACGGAUAAAAGGUACUCCGGGGAUAACAGGCUGAUACCGCCCAAGAGUUCAUAUCGACGGCGGUGUUUGGCACCUCGAUGUCGGCUCAUCACAUCCUGGGGCUGAAGUAGGUCCCAAGGGUAUGGCUGUUCGCCAUUUAAAGUGGUACGCGAGCUGGGUUUAGAACGUCGUGAGACAGUUCGGUCCCUAUCUGCCGUGGGCGCUGGAGAACUGAGGGGGGCUGCUCCUAGUACGAGAGGACCGGAGUGGACGCAUCACUGGUGUUCGGGUUGUCAUGCCAAUGGCACUGCCCGGUAGCUAAAUGCGGAAGAGAUAAGUGCUGAAAGCAUCUAAGCACGAAACUUGCCCCGAGAUGAGUUCUCCCUGAGACUUAGAGUCUCCUGAAGGAACGU
This 666-nucleotide ribosomal RNA is filed under the name Salmonella enterica subsp. enterica serovar Schwarzengrund. RNAcentral describes it as "partial 23S ribosomal RNA". It matches the Rfam family "Bacterial large subunit ribosomal RNA", at positions 2178 to 2838 of the family's 2925-position model. The record is from RNAcentral. Lineage: Bacteria; Pseudomonadati; Pseudomonadota; Gammaproteobacteria; Enterobacterales; Enterobacteriaceae.